RNAcentral lists this long non-coding RNA (1273 nucleotides) under Mus spicilegus (steppe mouse). RNAcentral's name for it is "lncRNA (ENSMSIG00000021779.1)". Lineage: Eukaryota; Metazoa; Chordata; Mammalia; Rodentia; Muridae. The record is from RNAcentral.
GGCUCAACUUGCUUCCAACAAUAUCACUAGUUUUUAUGAGUGUUAUGUGAAGCCGCAAUAGACAACAUCUCCUCAUCUGCCCUAGCAGGCAGGAUGGGGUUCUGCCUUCUGCGUGGAGCAUGAUGGGUGAGAGGAAGCAGAGGCUGGAGAGAUGGAGGACCCACAGUUUGAAAGGAGAUGAACCCCACAGGACGCUUCCACAGAGUGAUGCUGGCCAGCCCACCUUGGACCACAGGAAGCUCCCUAAGGAAAAGAGGAAAACAGCUGGAAUCUGCUUUUUGACAAUGGAGCAGAGGCGUCCUGAGGAUGCAGACAAUCUCUGGGAGCCGUUUCUCCUGCGAGCAAAGUACCAUAUCAGGAAUUCCAGACAUCUGACGUUAGCAGACGACUGUGUCACACAAUGCCUGCUCUCUGCCAGAACGUCAGAGGAGCAGGGGGUGACAGUGCACGGAUCCCUGUGAGGAGAGAGCCAGCGUUUGCAGUGUAAGUGCUGCGGGCAUUGGUCCCAACACACGUCCAGUUUUCUGGUAUGCUCUGGUAUUCUGGUUCUCUUUUGGAUCCCAGUAGCAUUUGGUUGUGUAGGUUUUGCAAUUAUAUUGUGAGUGACGUCUUUGGUUUUCUGUUUACUUCAUUGUUGUUUUUUGUUUUUGUUUUUGUUUUUGUUUUUGUUUUUGUUUUUGUUUUUUAAAGCACUGACUGGGAGCCUGGGAGAUAGCUCAGUCAGUACGGCCAUGAAGACAUGAAUAUAAUCCUUAGAACCCAGAAGAAAAUGCCAGGUGCAUGCUUAGAAUCCCACCGCCGGGGAGGAGGAAACUGAAGAUCCCUGGGAUAGCUGGCUGGUCAGCCUAGCUUCCUCAGUGAGCCCCAGGCUCAAUGCUUCCUGUGGCAAGCUCCCAGGGGCCCCACCUCAAGGGUGCCUCUUCCUCGUGACCACCUGUGACCUUCAAAAUGACAGCUGCCAAGGAUGCUGAAGAUGGUCAGCCUGGCUCAUCACCAACUCUGGAACUCAGCAGCUGCAUCAAUGUGGAUGGGAAAAAAAAAAGUCUCGGUUACAUUGAUCUUUGCCAGUGUCUCCUUCAGCAACAUACAUCGCCACAACCACAUCUCCAGUGGUCUCUGGGAACAACAUCACUAUUUUCAGAUCGGUGACAGUUGUGUCAGGUGGUUGAAAAUGUCAUUAAACCCAGUACUGCUUCAAAAUUACAGUCAUUAUUGAAACCUGCUCCUAGACCUUGUUAUUUAGUCUGUUAAUAAACAAGGAUUCCUAGAACCA